CCGAGUUAUACAACUCAUCAACCCUGUGAACAUACCUAAUACGUUGCCUCGGCGGGAAUCAGCCCGCGCCCUGUAACAAAGGGACGGCCCCGCCAGAGGACCCCUAACUCUGUUUUUAUAAGUGUACCUCUGAGUAAACAAGCAAAUAAAUCA
RNAcentral lists this unclassified non-coding RNA (153 nucleotides) under soil metagenome. Its description in RNAcentral is "partial internal transcribed spacer 1". The record is from RNAcentral.